GUUGUAUUCAGGCCUGCUUCAACGACACUAAUGUUGUAUCGUGCAGUCAUGGCGUUAGAGGAGUGAAUUGCAUUUGCCGAUUCGGUCACCGGUGGAAUGGGAAAGCAUGUCAGCUGCUCUACUGCCCAUUGGUGAACGAAGUGACGUUGAUGCCAAUUCCACGAAGCCCUCCUGGCACCAGAGUCAACGCGGCAUGUCGUGCCGGCUACGGACAAAUAUCACAACCAUCGAUUCUAGCAUGCCAGCCUGGUGGAAUUUGGACGUCGCUUCCCAGUUGUCUGCCUGUUUGCUUUGUGGAGCGACAUUCUCAAAAGUACAUUGGCAGCAACAUGUCACAAAACCUCUGUUGCACGGGAUAUACAUGCAAACCACAGGUAGAAAACACGGGACCCUACACACUUGGAAUAGUGAUUGCCGGAAUUGCUUGUGGGAUGGUCUUCGGACUGAUGUCAGCGACGGUGGUGGCCAUUGUGGUCUAUCGUCGGAAGGUGGGAAAAAAUCAAGCUGAAACAGGAGUUCCAAAUCUGAAGCCAAAUACAGCAAAUGAAGAAGCUACCGUUGCCGAGAGCACUCUCACCAAAAGCGAUGCUUACGGAGUUGUACACAUUGACCAGGAAGCACAAUACGAAUCCGUUCACCCCUAGUACAAUAAUUAUACUGAAAUUCACAAUGAACAAUAAUAAUAAUUAUUAUUCACUGGUUUGAAAGAAAGCCACAUUAUAAUUAUGCAACCAAAUUUCUUCGUGAAUAAUCAUUAUGGUUUCUCAACGCAAAUACUCAAACACAGUCUCUUUGCUGCUGGUGUCACCUAACUCACAAAUUUCCCCAACUCUUCAGGGUUAGCCCGUCAUCAGGGUGAAAAAGGUUUAAAAGAAUCACCCUAUGCCUAUCAUAGGGUUACAAUCACAAUGGAUUCCGUACUUUAUAUUUUGCAAUCCAGACCCUUUCUCGGUUUUUCGGUUCCUUUCCUUAUCAUGCUUCUUCCUUCUCUCUCGCUCUGCUUCUGCUCGGCAAUCUGGCUCAGGCAGUCUCUUUUGCAUAACUUUGAUGUAUCUGCAUGUACUGGUAUGUCCAGCACAAUUGAAUGCAUGGACUGAGCCCGUAUCUUACUGACUUGCCUUACUCGGCUACGGAAAUGAAAAUAAUCAUGAAUGUAAUAGCUUCACAUUUCCCGAACUUCCUAUUUUGUCUAUGGCUUAAAUCAUGGAACCUUUCCGUUCCUCCUAACAUUCCUUUGCAGUAGCACGAUAA
Sycon ciliatum is the source of this 1251-nucleotide long non-coding RNA. RefSeq lists it as uncharacterized. The record is from RefSeq and is a predicted model, not a curated record. The transcript is spliced from 3 exons. NCBI's taxonomy places the organism in Eukaryota, Metazoa, Porifera, Calcarea, Leucosolenida, Sycettidae.